AUAAAAUAUAAAACCACCUACAUAACAUUUUGAUAUAAGGACUUCAGAAACAAAAGGCUGAUUGCAGAGAGGAUGUCAUGGUUCUAUCCCAUGCAAGAGCAGAAAACGCAAAAGACCUGCAACAUUUUUGUGUUCAUGCAUCAUCAACGGUCUACUCCUUCGCUUGAAUUCCACAACGUACUUCAACAUUUUUAGUGGCUCCACUGCAGUCCGAGUCCAUCCAUCCAGGGCCACCAUUUUCUGGUGCAGUCUCCUGUGGUGCUUCUUCCACGACCCAAUCAUCCAUGGCAUCAAUCUCUUCACCCACAACAUUGUUU
RNAcentral lists this long non-coding RNA (317 nucleotides) under Populus tremula. RNAcentral describes it as "long non-coding RNA (PTRE_LNC000879)". Lineage: Eukaryota; Viridiplantae; Streptophyta; Magnoliopsida; Malpighiales; Salicaceae. The record is from RNAcentral.